RNAcentral lists this ribosomal RNA (253 nucleotides) under uncultured bacterium. RNAcentral's name for it is "partial 16S ribosomal RNA". It matches the Rfam family "Bacterial small subunit ribosomal RNA", at positions 524 to 776 of the family's 1533-position model. The record is from RNAcentral.
UACGAAGGGGGCUAGCGUUGUUCGGAAUUACUGGGCGUAAAGCGCACGUAGGCGGCUCUGUAAGUUGGGGGUGAAAUCCCGAGGCUCAACCUCGGAAUUGCCUUCAAGACUGCAGGGCUUGAGUUCGGGAGAGGUGAGUGGAAUUCCCAGCGGAGAGGUGAAAUUCGUAGAGAUUGGGAAGAACACCAGUGGCGAAGGCGGCUAACUGGCCCGUAACUUACGCUGAGGUGCGAAAGCGUGGGGAGCAUACAGG